GAGCGGAAACGAUCCUAGCUUGCUAGGAGGCGUCGAGCGGCGGACGGGUGAGUAACACGUGAGAAUCUGCCCAUUAGAGGGGGAUAACCUGGGGAAACCCAGGCUAAUACCGCAUAAUCCCUACGGGGGAAAGCAGGGGAUCUUCGGACCUUGUGCUGAUGGAUGAGCUCGCGUCGGAUUAGCUUGUUGGUGAGGUAAUGGCUCACCAAGGCGACGAUCCGUAGCUGGUCUUAGAGGAUGAUCAGCCACACCGGGACUGAGACACGGCCCGGACUCCUACGGGAGGCAGCAGUGGGGAAUCUUGGACAAUGGGGGCAACCCUGAUCCAGCCAUGCCGCGUGUGUGAAGAAGGCCUUCGGGUUGUAAAGCACUUUCAGUAGGGAGGAAGGCUUAUCCUUAAUACGGAUGAGUACUUGACGUUACCUACAGAAGAAGCACCGGCUAAUUUCGUGCCAGCAGCCGCGGUAAUACGAAAGGUGCGAGCGUUAAUCGGAAUUACUGGGCGUAAAGCGCGCGUAGGCGGUUUGCUAAGUCAGAUGUGAAAGCCCCGGGCUCAACCUGGGAACUGCAUUUGAAACUGGCAGGCUAGAAUGCAGUAGAGGGAGGUGGAAUUUCCGGUGUAGCGGUGAAAUGCGUAGAGAUCGGAAGGAACACCAGUGG
Molecule: ribosomal RNA, 660 nt
Filed under: uncultured Alcanivorax sp.
Lineage: Bacteria; Pseudomonadati; Pseudomonadota; Gammaproteobacteria; Oceanospirillales; Alcanivoracaceae
Description: bacterial SSU rRNA
Rfam family: Bacterial small subunit ribosomal RNA
Source: RNAcentral